This is a small nucleolar RNA of Panicum hallii, 107 nucleotides long. The record is from RefSeq and is a predicted model, not a curated record. Lineage: Eukaryota; Viridiplantae; Streptophyta; Magnoliopsida; Poales; Poaceae.
AUGCCGUGGUGUGGGCAUGCUGUGAUGUAUCCCUGGAGAUGUUUCCAGGCUUCGGGGAUGGUUUCAUCUUGGAGUUAUUGAAAAUUGGAAAUCCUAUUCCGAAGGGU